UGGGGAUCUGAUUGUUUGCAUUUUGCUGUGUAAUAUGGAUUCUCGGGAGAAUGCAUAGAACUGAUCAAUUGAGUUGAACCAAAAAUGGUUCGGUUUGCAAAAUUUUCUUUUUUGGUUAUUGCUGUUCAGUUUGGAACUGAACUGUCUGAUUGCACAGCCCUACUAUCAGCUAUUAGUAGUCAGAAACAAGUCAACAACUGGACCAAACAGGACCAGUGCCAUCCUUGUACCCGAGGGAGAAUUUAACUGUCUGAAUGUGAUGUGACGUGUAGACCCUUUUGGGCAAAAUCAGAUCCUUCAUGGUGUUAGCCAUCUGAAACAAGAAAAUCACUGAUUUUUUGGAUAAUGCAUGCUUGGGGUUAGAAAAGUUAUCUGAAGGUCAA
Molecule: unclassified non-coding RNA, 383 nt
Filed under: Hevea brasiliensis (rubber tree)
Lineage: Eukaryota; Viridiplantae; Streptophyta; Magnoliopsida; Malpighiales; Euphorbiaceae
Source: RNAcentral